RNAcentral lists this transfer RNA (78 nucleotides) under Promethearchaeati archaeon. Its description in RNAcentral is "Asgard group archaeon (marine sediment metagenome) tRNA-Ile". It matches the Rfam family "tRNA". Rfam says of the family: Transfer RNA (tRNA) molecules are approximately 80 nucleotides in length. Their secondary structure includes four short double-helical elements and three loops (D, anti-codon, and T loops). Lineage: Archaea; Promethearchaeati. The record is from RNAcentral.
GGGCCCGUAGCUCAGCUUGGUUAGAGCGCUCGGCUGAUAACCGGGAGGUCCGUGGUUCGAAUCCGCGCGGGCCCACCA